RNAcentral lists this ribosomal RNA (369 nucleotides) under uncultured bacterium. RNAcentral describes it as "bacterial SSU rRNA". It matches the Rfam family "Bacterial small subunit ribosomal RNA", at positions 527 to 896 of the family's 1533-position model. The record is from RNAcentral.
GUAGGCAGCAAACGUUGUUCGGAAUUACUGGGCGUAAAGAGUGUGUAGGCGGUUUGGUAAGUUUGGUGUGAAAUCUCCCGGCUUAACUGGGAGGGUGCGCCGAAAACUGCCAGGCUCGAGUACUGGAGAGGAUAGCGGAAUUCCUGGUGUAGCGGUGAAAUGCGUAGAUAUCAGGAGGAACACCUGCGGUGUAGACGGCUAUCUGGACAGUAACUGACGCUGAGACACGAAAGCGUGGGGAGCAAACAGGAUUAGAUACCCUGGUAGUCCACGCCCUAAACGAUGCAUACUUGGUGUGGGUGAUUCAUUUUAUCCGUGCCGGAGCUAACGCGUUAAGUAUGCCGCCUGGGGAGUACGGUCGCAAGGCUG